CGAUUGGACGAGACAAAAAGGGGAGAAAUUGCUUGUGCUUCGCCUGGUGAAGUACGGAAAUGGAUGGAAGCCUUUGAUCGAGCAAAACAACAGGCAGAUUAUGAUCUUUCAAGAGGUCAAAGUGCAAGAGAUAAACUGAAGUUAGAGAGCGAGAUCAACCUUGCUGGACAUCGACCUAGAGUACGGCGGUAUGCGCAUGGCUUGAAG
This 207-nucleotide unclassified non-coding RNA is filed under the name Hevea brasiliensis (rubber tree). The record is from RNAcentral. Lineage: Eukaryota; Viridiplantae; Streptophyta; Magnoliopsida; Malpighiales; Euphorbiaceae.